This 497-nucleotide ribosomal RNA is filed under the name uncultured bacterium. Its description in RNAcentral is "partial 16S ribosomal RNA". It matches the Rfam family "Bacterial small subunit ribosomal RNA", at positions 28 to 507 of the family's 1533-position model. The record is from RNAcentral.
GAUGAACGCUGGCGGCGUGCCUAAUACAUGCAAGUCGAGCGAACGGACGAGAGGCUUGCUUCUCUGAUGUUAGCGGCGGACGGGUGAGUAACACGUGGAUAACCUACCUAUAAGACUGGGAUAACUUCGGGAAACCGGAGCUAAUACCGGAUGAUAUUUUGAACCGCAUGGUUCAAAAGUGAAAGACGGUCUUGCUGUCACUUAUAGAUGGAUCCGCGCUGCAUUAGCUAGUUGGUAAGGUAACGGCUUACCAAGGCAACGAUGCAUAGCCGACCUGAGAGGGUGAUCGGCCACACUGGAACUGAGACACGGUCCAGACUCCUACGGGAGGCAGCAGUAGGGAAUCUUCCGCAAUGGGCGAAAGCCUGACGGAGCAACGCCGCGUGAGUGAUGAAGGUCUUCGGAUCGUAAAACUCUGUUAUUAGGGAAGAACAUAUGUGUAAGUAACUGUGCACACCUUGACGGUACCUAAUCAGAAAGCCACGGCUAACUACGUG